AGGGGCGUAGGUUCAACGGUAGACCGCCGGUCUCCAAAACCGGAUGUGGGGGUUCGAAUCCCUCCGCCCCUGCCA
Molecule: transfer RNA, 75 nt
Filed under: Acidobacteria bacterium RIFCSPHIGHO2_01_FULL_67_28
Lineage: Bacteria; Pseudomonadati; Acidobacteriota
Also listed under: 4 other names
Description: tRNA-Trp
Rfam family: tRNA
About the family: Transfer RNA (tRNA) molecules are approximately 80 nucleotides in length.
Source: RNAcentral